UAUUUGUAAAUGCAUAAAAAUACACAAUUCAAAGCAAAAGUGUAGUGUUGGUAUUGGGAACUUAGCAUUAUAAAGCUAGGAGCCUUGUCUCCAUGUCACGUUCCAAACCAGCUAACAUCUUCAUUCUAUAUUUCUCUUCCUUUUCUCUCUCCUCUAGGUUCGAGAAAGUGUAACAAAAUCCCUUAAACCUAUAAAGGAAAUAAUAUAUCCAACCUUCCUCCAAGACAAGUUUAGACCAAUUCCUCUUAUGAAGAAAGCAACAAUUCCUUGCCUUAUUUGCUUUUCCUAGCUACUUCAAUUCAUUUCCUCUCUUAUAAGUUAUCCAUCUUAACAUAAAUUUAAAACUCUAAACACAAAAUCUUAGACUAAUUAAGUAAUUAAUCUAAGAUUAGUCUUGCACAAUUGUUUCAAUUCACAUCAUCAUGCAAUCAUAAUAAAGCUUUUGCUCUUCAUCAUUGGUCCUUCUUCCUCUUUAAUUAUAUAUAUAAACUUGUAUAUAUACAAACAAAGAGGAGGAGAACAAGUUAAAGAAGUUGGAAUAUGAUGAGUAGUAGGAGAUUUAAUAGGUCUAUUAAAGGCUUAUUAAGAUCAAUAAGCUUAUUGUGGCUUUCUUUGGUUGGAGUUUUAUUAGCUAGUAGAGGAACAACGACGAUGGCGACAACAACAAGUCCUAUAAACAAGCAUAAUGUGAAUCAUGAAGUGCUCACAGUUGGAAGAGAGAAGCACUUAGCUCGCUCAGAGGUGAAUAUAAACUACAUGAGCAAAAGAAAAGUACCUAAUGGUCCUGAUCCUAUACAUAACAGGCGAGCCGGAAAUUCUAGACGACCACCAGGACAAGCUUAGGGUAUGUACAAGAGACUGAGGAGCAUCCUCCAUUAUAUAUAGUUCACUAAAAUGAUGAAGAUCAAGUGCAUAUCAUUUUAUUUUCAACAUAAUUGUAGGAGUAUUAUUUUUGUAAAAUGGGAGAGAAAAUGUCAUGAAAGUCAUCAGUAAGAAAAGUUAUGUUCUAUGAUCCAGUAUCUUAAUAUAGGUUGUGAGGUUGAGAAGUUACCUUAAUUUGGAAGAAUAAAAAUUAUUAA
Molecule: long non-coding RNA, 1079 nt
Organism: Chenopodium quinoa (quinoa)
Lineage: Eukaryota; Viridiplantae; Streptophyta; Magnoliopsida; Caryophyllales; Amaranthaceae
Exons: 2
Source: RefSeq, a predicted model, not a curated record